This 509-nucleotide ribosomal RNA is filed under the name uncultured bacterium. RNAcentral's name for it is "partial 16S ribosomal RNA". It matches the Rfam family "Bacterial small subunit ribosomal RNA", at positions 29 to 507 of the family's 1533-position model. The record is from RNAcentral.
ACGCACGCUGGCGGCGUGCUUCACCCAUGCCAGUCGAACGAAGAGCGAUGGAAGCUUGCUUCUAUCAAUCUUAGUGGCGAACGGGUGAGUAACGCGUAAUCAACCUGCCCUUCAGAGGGGGACAACAGUUGGAAACGACUGCUAAUACCGCAUACGAUCUAAUCUCGGCAUCGAGGAUAGAUGAAAGGUGGCCUCUACAUGUAAGCUAUCACUGAAGGAGGGGAUUGCGUCUGAUUAGCUAGUUGGAGGGGUAACGGCCCACCAAGGCGAUGAUCAGUAGCCGGUCUGAGAGGAUGAACGGCCACAUUGGGACUGAGACACGGCCCAGACUCCUACGGGAGGCAGCAGUGGGGAAUCUUCCGCAAUGGACGAAAGUCUGACGGAGCAACGCCGCGUGAGGGAUGACGGCCUUCGGGUUGUAAAGCUCGGUUAAUCGGGACGAAAGGCCUUCUUGCGAACAGUUAGAAGGAUUGACGGUACCGGAAUAGAAAGCCACGGCUAACUACGUG